Molecule: non-coding RNA, 6613 nt
Organism: Myodes glareolus (Bank vole)
Lineage: Eukaryota; Metazoa; Chordata; Mammalia; Rodentia; Cricetidae
Source: RefSeq, a predicted model, not a curated record
UGUUCUUUGGCGGUUAAACUGCCAGUUUGUCAGGCUGCUUGAUGAAGAAGAGGUCAGAUCUUGUUCAUCCAACUGCUGUCAGCUUUUCUGUAAGGAACCCCAGCCAGAUAUCAGCAGAGAACCUGUCUGUGUCCUCCAUGGCGUUUGCCGGGAAUUCAGAGGUGCUGGCGCUGCUGGGACUUGAAAGAGAAGCUGAGUUGCCUGGCAAUGUAGAAGCUACAGCAUCUGGGCCCUCUGACCUCCUGCUCAGUGUCACAUUGUUAAAGGUGGCCCAGCAUCUGGCAUGGGAGAAGAUGGUGACAGCAGAGUUCAGCACCUGGAAGAAAUGAAGGGGCCUGAAGGAACCAGAAAAGUGGUGGGAGGCCCAGGGACCUGUUUGGAGGAAGAAUCAGCUACACAAACACCGGGAAUGGAGUGGAGCAGCUUGCAGCUUCUGACAGCCAGGCUGAGGCUUCAGGGUUCACAUUUCGACAACAAAGACAACUUCCUUCCCGUGCCUCGAUGCCCUUCAGUGACUGUAGGAACGGGAGUGGCGCUGUCACUGCCUUCAGAUCUAGAACAUGGUGGCUGACUGUCUGUUCCUUACUUGGACAUCAACAGACACUUGUUCUCACUUGGGAGGAAUAUGGAAGAGGUUGCCUUACAUGGUCCUGUGCAUGUAUUCUCAGCUUUCCAGUCAGAUAUCCCACUGCAGGAUGGACGGCCUGACAAAUUGUGUCUUGUGUUCUAACAAAAACGGGAGACAAUGUUUCAUCAAGUCAAGAAGUGUCCUCCUUCCCUUCAGAGUAAAUGCUGGCACAGGUGUGCGUGCAAAACCACCGGGCUGUGAGGCAUGUCCAGAAUUCCUAACUUCUGGCCUUUCCACCAGCUCGUCUCUAGAAUUGAGGAGGCUCAUCGCACCCCCAGUCAGACGGGUACCGCACAUACCGUGGAACAGAAGAAAUGACAAAUGACCAGAGGUCUCUGCAGCUACCACCUCUUGAAAAGUUGUCAGUGCCAUUUUGGCCACCAUUCUGGCACUGAAGGCAGACAUAGGACAGGGUGUCACUGCUUUGUCUUCCAGGCUGAGCUGGGUAGGCCUUGAAAACUCAGCUGGAUGCCAGUCUCCAAGAAGUUGACUAGGAGUCCCUAGGGUCCGUAGGUCCUUUAUACUUUGGCAUGAUUUGCAGAGCUCACCAUGCUCCUGCUCUGAACUCAAGGAUGCCAUGUUGCCGUACUGAUGACUGUGCCUACUUUGUGACUAGGGAAACACUGGACUGGCUCUCUGGUGCCUCUGUAUACAGCUACACAAAGGACAGCUUAGAACAAAUCAGGGGAAAGACAUGGCGAGCUGAUGCGUAGGGUGGGUUCUUACAUGGUUGACUUAGCCAUCUUCCCAAUCCUAAAGAUUUCCUGCUUUUGGGGUCCAGUAGGUUGACUUAGCUCUCCGUCGCCCCAGAAAAAAAAAUCCUAAAGCCUUUCUUUCCAUAACUAAACUAUAAUUGGCACUACCUACAAUGCUGGAACUAGGAGGUGGUGAGACCUCAAACGCCACUGUCCCCUCUUCUUGGAGACAUAUCCUCUCCUGAUGCAGUACUCCAAGGUGAACCGAUGCAGACCUUUCCCUGUGGCCUAGCACUACAGACAGGACCUCGAGAUAAAACAUACACAGAGGAAGUAAUGCCUAAAUGUUUCCUUGCUCUACAUUGGGGAAAGUAUUUGCUUUUCUAGACAGUACACGUUUGCAGAGGUAGUGUUUUGGAGAGUGGACAGGGAUCCCUGGGAUACGUGGUGCCUGUUUCCUGUGAGCAGUGUCUGCCUCGGAACAAAGAUUCUCUGCACAUCAGAUGACCAUAGGGCAUCCAUUUGUCUGUGGAAGGUUGGAUGUGUACUUUAGGGCUGGCUUUGCCAACACUACUAGUGUUUGUUUCCUCUCCGAUUCUGCCACAGGAAUCCUGUGGUGGUAGACAUGCCUACUCUCUGGAGCUUGGGGUGGUUCAUUGUGUAAACUUUUUUGAGGGAGCACGGCUACGCUGAAUCCCCAAUUUCUCUUCUGGAAUCCAUUCAACAGAUGUCAUGAAGUACUGUGCUUCAGUGACCUGUCGGCCGUGAAGAGUCUGCUCACGGCUGACCCUUGACUUUGUGUCAUGACUGAUAAGCCCUAGAGUUUUUGUGGGGAGUUCUCCUGUACUUUGACUUUGGGGGUCAAAAUUGAAAAUAUAAGGCUUUUUAUCUUGUGCCAAAACUUCUUUUUAUUGUUAUUUGACCUGUCGAUUUGGACAGAACUCAUCCCUGUAAACUGUUUUUCCUGCCUUUGACUUCUUUGCUCAUCUUAUUCAAAAUUUGGAUAAAACUCAUGGCUAUGCCAUGCUUGCUGUGGUUUGAAAUAUGGUGGACAUUCUGUGCUCCUGACAGAAAAGGAAACUUGUCCUGGAAGGGUGACUGGGUUGUAGGGGGCACAGUCUUGAAGGUGAACUGAAAGGCCCUGGCGGCCAGGAUAUCUGUAGCAAGCAGAACCUCGAGGUACAGUCUUGGCAGAACUUUCAGUGGCCCAGUCCUGUAGGACCGUGCCAGCGGCUGAGCAGUGAGAGGUGCUCAGGCCCGAGUCUUCUGGAUCCUAGGAAAUCGUUCUAGAAUCGGAUAGACUUUACUGGUCUCCAGUGAUUCAUUGAGUUACCACAGGGAGUUCCCAGUCACAGGACUCUUCCUCCUCUGUCUUCUCCAGCUCCCUGGUUUCCUAGCUACUUGGUGAUUGGGAUGCCACCCUGAUCUCCCAAACUGACACCCUUGGUACUUUCCUCUAAAGUCACACCUCUUGGCAUCCACCACACCCUCAGUCUCCUGUGACUCAUAGGCUUCCUUGAUUAGGCCUGGAUUCGCCACUGGGUUGCCUAUCCAAGAUUCCAGAACCAUUUCACUCUCCCAGUCUCUGCCCACGAGGCUCUGUGGGAUGGACACCAAUGUCACAUUGUCUUGGUUAGGUAUCGGGGCUUCAGAGGGACCAGACUUGUCACUAGUUGGCGUCUCUCUCAGGAAUUAUAACUGGAGUGCAGAAAGACAGUCCUGUGUGGACAGAUUCCACAGUGGAUAUUAAUUUCUUCACUCUCUUCUGAACCUUUUUUAAAAGGUUCUCCCAGGACACUGGACGUUUGGACAAUGGAUUCAUCUCUAGAGUCUCAGUAGGACAAAGAGGUACUGGAAGGCUGUGGCACGGGCUAAGCUGUAGCCUUGUUCACAUUGAAAACAGUUAUGCCCUUGAGGUCUCUGAGGGGCAGGUUCCAUCUGUGCCUCACCAGGCAUCUUGUAAGAUGUGUUCCCUGCAAGUUUUGAGUGCCAGGAUCCUGGAAGGAAGGCCCAUUAGAAGUUUCCUUGUAGGUAAUUGUAUCAUUCCAAGAGUGUUGUCUACAUGUUACCUUAUUACUCUUGAGUUAUUCAGGGAUAAGAACACAGAGUCCAUAUAUUUUCCAUGACAAUUGCUCAUGGGCAGCUUACUGCCUCUGGAAUCCCUACACCUGCUGCUUGAGUGAUUAUUCAGGAUGCCUUGUAGCUGCUGCUUUCCUGGUACACCAGGGGAACAUUCCACGAGCCACUUAGAUGGCUCCUGUGGCAAGUUUCCACCUCUCCUUCAGAGACACCCUGAGAACUUUGAAACCUUCUGGGUUCCUGUACAGAUCUUUCGUAGCUCUUCCCAGCUGUUUCUCAGAUCCUUGCAUGAGUCCUUCCAGAGUUGGAAUAACUCUAAAACCCAAUUGGGAUUAUGGGCCUGCAUGCCCGUGAUUGUGCUUCAAGAUCCCAAUUUAUUAUUCUGUCUGCUGUUUGACACCUAGAAUGCCACCUCUUGAAGAAGCUCUUAGAGAGUAGGAGCCAUUUAGUGGCUGUGGUUAAAAAGUCACAGGAAUCAACUCACAUGGAAAAGGUGGGCCUCAUGGGGCCAGCGGUCUGUUGUGUACCUCCUAGGGGAAUUUGUUCACCCUAGGCUCCAGGGGAACAACCCUUAAAAAUGUGGCACACACAACACACAAUAGCCCCGCAAGGCCCAGUCACUAUUGGAUGUAAUAAAUUCUCAGGAUAAACUCCCAGGGAAGGUCAGGUGGAAGUUAAUCAAGGAACUUCAUGUCCAUCAGUAUAGGCAGAUGUAAAUCAGCCAGCAUCCACAGAGUGUCUCAUGAAAGGUUUUAGAUUUGGUGUUUUGGAUUCCAGCCACUGAUGGAGAUGGGGACCAGGACUGAUUCUGAGUCAAAGAUUGGGAUUGGACAAUUGAUGAAGCAAGGAAUUUUGAGAAAAGAGCUGUGGAGGUGUGAUAGUCUAAACUUGUUUGGGGAUGUAAUAGAGCAUCCAUUGAAUAAGAUGGAGGGGAGAUCCAUUAAGGAUUCUGCCAUGUUGAUAGUAGCCACAAGGGACUCACUUUGGAGAAAGGGGAGGACCCAGAAAAGCUGGUUACAUUUCUGUUCUAUAUUGUUGCCUGACAGAACUUCUGACGGCCUGAAAACGGCUCUGAUUUAGUUUUUGCUCCAGAAGGGGCAUGAGGUGGUGCUGACCUGCUUCUGCUGCAGGACUGCAGCGUAUUGUCCAUACAGCUCAAGUGUGGAUGGACAGAUCAUUUUUUCCCUUGCCCCUUCUAAACUUUUCGUUCAACCUUCUUUUAAACUGAGCAUUCAGCCUCUCCUGGAUACCAGGCUUGAUAAAAAGGCUCUAUCUGCCUGUAUGUGAGGCCUGUCCAGAAAGAGGCCUCUCUUUCUCAUCACAGCCAUAUGACGAGGUUUAGUGGCACAAUUUUUCACAGAUACCCGGGACCUGGAAGUGCCUAGGGUAGGCUUGCUUGGGUAAUCCAGGCCUGCAGUGAUUGAGGUAGGCGUCCUUGCGAGGUCCAGGCCUGGUGUGGUUGAGGUAGGCCUGUUUGAGUGGUCCAGUCCUGGGGUGGUUGGGAUGGGAGAAGGCAAACCUAGCAGAGGUGUGCUCUUUAAGGUCCACGGUGCUUUCCUGUCAAACCGAGGAGCUGAUGUACUGGGAUCUGACUUGGAUGGAGGUCAAGCCAUAGGCUCAGCAGGAUGAGCAGCUAGGGAAGGUGCCCAUGGCGGUGAGUGGCACCGUCCAGAAGCCAAGGUCUCUCUGAUGGCUGAGAAGCACUCACUCAGCUGAGAGGCAGCUGUGACUCGGUAGAAGCUUGGGCUUCUGCAGGACAGGUGACAAGGUAGAGUUUUGCACAGCAGGUGUUUCUCAAAAGGAGCUGAGGAGGCCACCGGUUAGAAAUUGGUGGCCACAGACUCCUCUGUGGGCUGCCUAGGUGGCAGGUGGGCUUUGGUUUGGCUGCUUCACCUGAGGCAUCUUGUCUUAAGUGCUGGCAAAAGCUGAUGAUAUUGACAAGCCUUCCCAUGGUGCUGUGGGAGGCAGGAGAUAUGAUUGCAGCCAGGAUCUCAUGAGGCCAGGAGCGGGGCAAGCUGAGUAGGGAAGGACCCUUGCAGCCCAGCACGACCACCGUUCCACACUCUGCUCUACAAGACCUUGUUACCUUAACAUCCACGUCUGUACUCAUAUCCCCCCCUCCCCAUCCUCAUGCCCUGUCAGGGGUAAAAACCUAACAGAAAACAGAAGUGAGGAGCCAGAGAGAACUGGAGAUGGCUCACCUGUGCAGAAGGAAACCCAGUACCUUGUCCUCCUUUGGUUUCUUCCUGCUGCCUCUGUAAGCUGGAAAUGGAGACUGGGUUAUGGUGACUAAAAGAGGGACUGGGUAUCUUACCAGAGACUGAGCAAAAUGUCCUUUCAGUAGAAAUGAGCAGUUAAACAGGAGCUCAGUCAUCCGUGAGCAAGGCCGCAUGCCCAAAUUCGUGGAGAACAAGGUAUAUGUUGGGCAGGACCAUGCCAUAGACCAUGUGUGUGCACUUCUGAUGCCCUUCAGGGUUUCAUAAUCUCUCUGUGUAGAGGAGAUGGAAGUACAUUUUUUAUAGCUCAGACUAGAUCUGGGCUCUGGAGCCUCCUGCCUCUGUCUCCUAAAUGUUGGGAUUACAGGCAUGUGCAAUGUGACAGUCUUAACUCAUAUACUUUGGCAGAUUUUUACAAAUAUUUAUAUUAUUUUUAAGUGUGGAUAGUGAAGAUGUCUUGGAGGCCCAUGGAAUCAAACCUCCUAAUCAGGCAGCUGUGAGCCCCCUCAUCAGAAGGUACAGGAAACGGUACCAGGUCCUCUGGAAGAGCAGCCACUGCUCCUAACCACGGAGUUAUCUUCCAUUCCACUUUCGUAGACUUGCAAGUGUGAAUUAAAGUGAGAUUAGUUCAAAAGGAUGAGAAAUAUUUUCCCCUUUUUGUCUUAGGCUCAUUCGUUAUGUUCCUGUAAAUUAAGCAGACAGCAAAGCUGACAACAAAAGAAAACCAGGACUUAGCAUACGUGUUGCGCUUACAUGGAGGGGCUGGGGGAAGUCCUGAGUAAGAGAAUCUAACAGACAGUUUAGAACUGGGGCUUGUUUACCACCUCAACCCAAACCAGUAAAUUGUAAACAAAAGACAGGAAAAGAGCCGAGAUUGAAGAGGCAGCAGCAGGCUGUGGGGAGGUGGAUGGAGGGGAGAGUGGAAGAUGACCUGACUGGCUGGCUGUCUCCUAGGGCCUGGUGCCUCCCCAGUCUGUUGUUGAGUUGGUGAUGAG